Molecule: ribosomal RNA, 254 nt
Filed under: uncultured bacterium
Lineage: Bacteria
Description: partial 16S ribosomal RNA
Rfam family: Bacterial small subunit ribosomal RNA
Source: RNAcentral
AACGUAGGAGGCGAGCGUUAUCCGGAUUUACUGGGCGUAAAGCGCGUGCAGGCGGUUUGUUAAGUCGUGCGUGAAAGCUCCCUGGCUCAACCGGGAGAGGUCGUGCGAAACUGGCGAACUGGAGACAGAGAGAGGCAAGUGGAAUUCCGGGUGUAGUGGUGAAAUGCGUAGAUAUCCGGAGGAACACCAGUGGCGAAGGCGACUUGCUGGCUCUGAUCUGACGCUCAGACGCGAAAGCAUGGGGAGCGAACGGG